UUCUUCGGGGUAGGGUGCAAGUCCCAACCGGCGGUAUAGUCCGCGACCUGUUCAGGCAAGUCCUGAAUGGCUGAUUUGGUGUAAUUCCAAAACCGACAGUAAAGUCUGGAUGAGAGAAGA
Molecule: non-coding RNA, 120 nt
Filed under: human gut metagenome
Description: FMN riboswitch (RFN element)
Rfam family: FMN riboswitch aptamer (RFN element)
About the family: The RFN element is a highly conserved domain that is found frequently in the 5'-untranslated regions of prokaryotic mRNAs that encode for flavin mononucleotide (FMN) biosynthesis and transport proteins. This element is a metabolite-dependent riboswitch that directly binds FMN in the absence of proteins.
Source: RNAcentral